RNAcentral lists this ribosomal RNA (447 nucleotides) under uncultured Aeromonas sp. RNAcentral's name for it is "bacterial SSU rRNA". It matches the Rfam family "Bacterial small subunit ribosomal RNA", at positions 9 to 450 of the family's 1533-position model. The record is from RNAcentral. Lineage: Bacteria; Pseudomonadati; Pseudomonadota; Gammaproteobacteria; Aeromonadales; Aeromonadaceae.
GAGUUUGAUCAUGGUUCAGAUUGAACGCUGGCGGCAGGCCUAACACAUGCAAGUCGAGCGGCAGCGGGAAAGUAGCUUGCUACUUUUGCCGGCGAGCGGCGGACGGGUGAGUAAUGCCUGGGAAAUUGCCCAGUCGAGGGGGAUAACAGUUGGAAACGACUGCUAAUACCGCAUACGCCCUACGGGGGAAAGCAGGGGACCUUCGGGCCUUGCGCGAUUGGAUAUGCCCAGGUGGGAUUAGCUAGUUGGUGAGGUAAUGGCUCACCAAGGCGACGAUCCCUAGCUGGUCUGAGAGGAUGAUCAGCCACACUGGAACUGAGACACGGUCCAGACUCCUACGGGAGGCAGCAGUGGGGGAUAUUGCACAAUGGGGGAAACCCUGAUGCAGCCAUGCCGCCUGUGUGAAGAAGGCCUUCGGGUUGUAAAGCACUUUCAGCGGGGAGGAAA